GAUUGGAUAGAUGCUGGGUUUCCUUAGGGUUUCAGUGGAUUUUCGCCAGUUAUUUGCUUUGGUUUUAAUGUAAAAGGAAGUUAAUCAGAUCCAUCUCUCGCUUGAAUGGAAUUUCUCAAGGAAACAGCGAGAUGUAAUGCUAGGGUUUCGACUUCAUGGCUGAAGUUGGUGGAGCCUUGGAGGUACUGGUUCUGGAUUGGGGUCACUUCUUUUGGGAUGUCUCUCAGUUGACUAUGGAAAGAAGA
Papaver somniferum (opium poppy) is the source of this 245-nucleotide long non-coding RNA. RefSeq lists it as uncharacterized. NCBI's taxonomy places the organism in Eukaryota, Viridiplantae, Streptophyta, Magnoliopsida, Ranunculales, Papaveraceae. The transcript is spliced from 3 exons. The record is from RefSeq and is a predicted model, not a curated record.